UCUGCCAUUUAUGUCAAGGAGCAGCAGCCAGAAGAUGUGUCAAAGCACAUUCUUCAGUGUCUCAGGUUUUGCAACUCAUUGUUAAAUUUAGAAUAAAAAAUCCCCAGCUGCCUUCCCCCCC
Molecule: non-coding RNA, 121 nt
Organism: Zonotrichia albicollis (white-throated sparrow)
Lineage: Eukaryota; Metazoa; Chordata; Aves; Passeriformes; Passerellidae
Source: RefSeq, a predicted model, not a curated record